This 497-nucleotide ribosomal RNA is filed under the name uncultured bacterium. RNAcentral describes it as "partial 16S ribosomal RNA". It matches the Rfam family "Bacterial small subunit ribosomal RNA", at positions 899 to 1397 of the family's 1533-position model. The record is from RNAcentral.
ACUCAAAUGAAUUGACGGGGGACCGCACAAGCGGUGGAGCAUAUGGCUUAAUUCGAUGCAACGCGAAGAACCUUACCAGGGCUUGACAUGCACCUGCAAGCUGCCGAAAAGCAGUCGCUUUCGAAGGUGGUGCACAGGUGGUGCAUGGCUGUCGUCAGCUCGUGUUGUGAAAUGUUGGGUUAAGUCCCGCAACGAGCGCAACCCUCAUGUUUUGUUACCAGCGGAUAAUGCCGGGGACUCGAAACAAACUGCCUCUGUAAAGAGGAGGAAGGCGGGGAUGACGUCAAGUCAGCAUGCCCCUUACGCCCUGGGCUGCACAUAUGCUACAAUGGCCGGCACAAAGGGUUGCCAACUCGCGAGAGUGCGCUAAUCCCAAAAAACCGGUCUCAGUUCGGAUCGAAGUCUGCAACUCGACUUCGUGAAGUCGGAAUCGCUAGUAACCGCCGGUCAGCAAUACGGCGGUGAAUACGUUCCCGGUCCUUGCACACACCGCCCGU